RNAcentral lists this ribosomal RNA (403 nucleotides) under uncultured bacterium. Its description in RNAcentral is "bacterial SSU rRNA". It matches the Rfam family "Bacterial small subunit ribosomal RNA", at positions 32 to 424 of the family's 1533-position model. The record is from RNAcentral.
AAUCAACGCUGGCGGCGCGCCUAAUACAUGCAAGUCGAACGCGAAAGUGGAGCAAUCCAUGAGUAGAGUGGCAAACGGGUGAGUAACGCGUGGGUGACCUGCCUUCGAGUGGGGAUAACGUUUCGAAGGAACGCUAAUACCGCAUGACAUCCUGCCUUUUAACAGGUGGAGAUCAAAGCUGGGGAUCGCAAGACCUAGCGCUUGAAGAGGGGCCCGCUCCGANAGUCUAGUUGGUGGGGUAACGGCUCACCAAGGCAACGAUCGGUAGCGGCCUGAGAGGGCGGACGGCCACACUGGGACUGAGACACGGCCCAGACUCCUACGGGAGGCAGCAGUAGGGAAUUGUUCGCAAUGGGCGCAAGCCUGACGACGCAACGCCGCGUGGAGGAUGAAGACCUCGGUC